CAGCCGCCGCGGUAAUACCGGCGGCCCGAGUGGCGGUCACUAUUAUUGGGCUUAAAGCGUCCGUAGCCGGGUUGGGAAGGCCUCCGGGAAAUCUUGCCGCUUAACGGUCAGAAUGCCGGAGGAUACUCCCAGCCUAGGGAGCGGGAGAGGCCGAGGGUUUUCCCGGAGUAGGGGUGAAAUCCUAUAAUCCCGGGAGGACCACCUGUGGCGAAGGCGCUCGGCUGGAACGCGUCCGACGGUGAGGGACGAAGGCCAGGGGAGCAAACCGGAUUAGAUACCCGGGUAGUCCUGGCUGUAAACGAUGCGGACUUUGUGUCGGACAAGCUAUGAGCUUGUCCGGUGCCGGAGGGAAACCGUUAAGUCCGCCGCCUGGGGAGUACGGCCGCAAGGCUGAAACUUAAAGGAAUUGGCGGG
Molecule: ribosomal RNA, 414 nt
Filed under: uncultured microorganism
Description: bacterial SSU rRNA
Rfam family: Archaeal small subunit ribosomal RNA
Source: RNAcentral